Molecule: long non-coding RNA, 369 nt
Filed under: Gossypium barbadense (sea-island cotton)
Lineage: Eukaryota; Viridiplantae; Streptophyta; Magnoliopsida; Malvales; Malvaceae
Description: long non-coding RNA (GBAR_LNC020530)
Source: RNAcentral
CCUUUGGUCGGAGAACCCAUUGGUGGCGGCUUCAAGGUCAGAGUAUUCGAACUGUUGGAUCUUGAUGGGUUUUUCCUGCUUGUUGGUGACACCUUUGGUUGUGGAGGUGGAGAUUAUGGACACUGCUGAGUCUGCUUUGCAAGAAAGGUAACCCAUCAAAAAACAAACCACAAAAAGUUACUUCUUUCUUUCUGAGUCUUGUUUGUGAAACGGGAAUUUUGACAGGCUACAGGAAAUAUGAAUCAGGAAUGAACAAUUAUAUCAUUUCAUUACUGGGCUGCAAAUGCAUCAAAGACUGAAGAGGAAAAAUUGAAGUUUUUAUUUUUUUCUUUUCCUGUCUUUCUCUCUUGGAGAGGAAAGGAAAGGGGC